GACGAACGCUGGCGGCGUGCUUAACACAUGCAAGUCGAACGGAAAGGCCCUGCUUUUGUGGGGUGCUCGAGUGGCGAACGGGUGAGUAGCACGUGAGUAACCUGCCCUUGACUUUGGGAUAACUUCAGGAAACUGGGGCUAAUACCGGAUAGGAGCUCCUGCUGCAUGGUGGGGGUUGGAAAGUUUCGGCGGUUGGGGAUGGACUCGCGGCUUAUCAGCUUGUUGGUGGGGUAGUGGCUUACCAAGGCUUUGACGGGUAGCCGGCCUGAGAGGGUGACCGGCCACAUUGGGACUGAGAUACGGCCCAGACUCCUACGGGAGGCAGCAGGUGGGAAUAUUGCACAAUGGGCGGAAGCCUGAUGCAGCAACGCCGCGUGCGGGAUGGCGGCCUUCGGGUUGUAAACCGCUUUCGCCUGUGACGAAGCGUGAGUGACGGUAAUGGGUAAAGAAGCACCGGCUAACUACGUG
RNAcentral lists this ribosomal RNA (468 nucleotides) under uncultured bacterium. Its description in RNAcentral is "partial 16S ribosomal RNA". It matches the Rfam family "Bacterial small subunit ribosomal RNA", at positions 28 to 507 of the family's 1533-position model. The record is from RNAcentral.